Molecule: microRNA, 22 nt
Filed under: Drosophila yakuba
Lineage: Eukaryota; Metazoa; Arthropoda; Insecta; Diptera; Drosophilidae
Description: dya-miR-2498-5p
Source: miRBase by way of RNAcentral
UUAAGUCUGUUCUGCUUAGAUU